Molecule: ribosomal RNA, 465 nt
Filed under: uncultured bacterium
Lineage: Bacteria
Description: partial 16S ribosomal RNA
Rfam family: Bacterial small subunit ribosomal RNA
Source: RNAcentral
CUACGGGCGGCAGCAGUGAGGAAUUUUGCGCAAUGGGCGAAAGCCUGACGCAGCAACGCCGCGUGAGUGAUGAAGGCUUUCGGGUCGUAAAGCUCUGUCAAGUGGGAAGAACCUAUAUAAUGUUAAUACCAUUAUAUACUGACGGUACCACUGAAGGAAGCACCGGCUAACUCCGUGCCAGCAGCCGCGGUAAUACGGGGGGUGCAAGCGUUAUUCGGAAUCAUUGGGCGUAAAGAGCACGUAGGCGGCCUGGUAAGUCAGAUGUGAAAGCCCGGGGCUUAACCCCGGAAGUGCAUUUGAUCCUGCCCGGCUUGAGUAUGGGAGAGGGAAGUGGAAUUCCUGGUGUAGAGGUGAAAUUCGUAGAUAUCAGGAGGAACACCGGUGGCGAAGGCGACUUCCUGGACCAAUACUGACGCUGAGGUGCGAAGGCGUGGGUAGCAAACAGGAUUAGAUACCCCAGUAGUC